RNAcentral lists this ribosomal RNA (326 nucleotides) under uncultured cyanobacterium. Its description in RNAcentral is "partial 16S ribosomal RNA". The record is from RNAcentral. Lineage: Bacteria; Bacillati; Cyanobacteriota.
GGAGUAUGGGCCGUGUCUCAGUCCCAUUGUGGCUGAUCAUCCUCUCAAACCAGCUACUGAUCGUCGCCUUGGUGGUCCAUUACACCGCCAACUAGCUAAUCAGAUGCAGACUCAUCCUAGAGCACCGGAGUUUUCACGAAUAGCAUCUCAGCUACGCGCAUAUGAGGUAUUAGCAGGAGUUUCCCUCUGUUGUCCCUCUCUCUAGGGCAGAUUCUCUACAUAUUACUCACCCGUCCGCCACUUUCCAUUACCCGAAGGUAAUUUCUCGUUCGACUUGCAUGUAUGAAGCACGCCGCCAGCGUUCGUCCUGAGCCAUGUCAAACUCU